GAUGAGUUUGAUCGUGGCUCAGGACGAACGCUGGCGGCGUGCUUAACACAUGCAAGUCGAGCGGAAAGGCCACUUCGGUGGUACUCGAGCGGCGAACGGGUGAGUAACACGUGAGUAAUCUGCCCCUGGCUUUGGGAUAGCCACCGGAAACGGUGAUUAAUACCGGAUAUGACUACUUGCCGCAUGGUGGGUGGUGGAAAGUUUUUCGGCCAGGGAUGUGCUCGCGGCCUAUCAGCUUGAUGGUGAGGUAAUGGCUCACCAUGGCUUCGACGGGUAGCCGGCCUGAGAGGGUGACCGGUCACACUGGGACUGAGACACGGCCCAGACUCCUACGGGAGGCAGCAGUGGGGAAUAUUGGACAAUGGGCGGAAGCCUGAUCCAGCAACGCCGCGUGAGGGAUGACGGCCUUCGGGUUGUAAACCUCUUUCAGUACCGACGAAGCGCAAGUGACGGUA
RNAcentral lists this ribosomal RNA (455 nucleotides) under Nocardioides sp. Its description in RNAcentral is "bacterial SSU rRNA". It matches the Rfam family "Bacterial small subunit ribosomal RNA", at positions 1 to 477 of the family's 1533-position model. The record is from RNAcentral. Lineage: Bacteria; Bacillati; Actinomycetota; Actinomycetes; Propionibacteriales; Nocardioidaceae.